This is a non-coding RNA of Arachis ipaensis, 407 nucleotides long. NCBI's taxonomy places the organism in Eukaryota, Viridiplantae, Streptophyta, Magnoliopsida, Fabales, Fabaceae. The record is from RefSeq and is a predicted model, not a curated record.
UCAGCCCCCACCACUCUCGGGGUGACAACCAGUGAUUGCCAUCCUUGCUUCUCGAAGGUAUUAUUUCCUCCUCGCGUCGUCAAGCCCAAGGGUGUCGUCAAGCCCGGACCUAUCCUCCUCAUCGUCGCCAGAAGUUCAUCAAGCCCAGAUCUGUCAUCGUUGUUGUCGAGCCCGAGAGUGCCAUCGUUGCCGCCGAACGUUUCUGUUGCUCGACGUCGCGAACGUCUACUCAGCCUUGUUCUCCUCGUUGUCGCAAACAUGCAUGUUCUCCUCACCGUCGUUCCAGUGCCUCCAGAAGCUUCCUUCCUCCAACAACAAGUUCACCUACAAUUGCGACAACCACACCUUCAACUUCCUCGUCAAUAAUGGCUCACUUACUGUGUUGUUGCGGAUGAAUUUGCUGGAAG